RNAcentral lists this ribosomal RNA (595 nucleotides) under uncultured bacterium. RNAcentral describes it as "bacterial SSU rRNA". It matches the Rfam family "Bacterial small subunit ribosomal RNA", at positions 338 to 951 of the family's 1533-position model. The record is from RNAcentral.
CCUACGGGAGGCAUCAGUGGGGAAUAUUGGACAAUGGGCGAAAGCCUGAUCCAGCAAUGCCGCGUGAGUGAUGAAGGCCUUCGGGUCGUAAAGCUCUUUUACCAGGGAUGAUAAUGACAGUACCUGGAGAAUAAGCUCCGGCUAACUCCGUGCCAGCAGCCGCGGUAAUACGGAGGGAGCUAGCGUUGUUCGGAAUUACUGGGCGUAAAGAGUACGUAGGCGGUUAUUCAAGUCAGAGGUGAAAGCCCGGGGCUCAACCCCGGAACUGCCUUUGAAACUAGAUAACUAGAGUCUUGGAGAGGUUAGUGGAAUUCCGAGUGUAGAGGUGAAAUUCGUAGAUAUUCGGAAGAACACCAGUGGCGAAGGCGACUAACUGGACAAGUACUGACGCUGAGGUACGAAAGCGUGGGGAGCAAACAGGAUUAGAUACCCUGGUAGUCCACGCCGUAAACGAUGAUAACUAGUUGUUCGGUCACUUGGUGACUGAGUGACGCAGCUAACGCAUUAAGUUAUCCGCCUGGGGAGUACGGUCGCAAGAUUAAAACUCAAAGGAAUUGACGGCGNGAAGAGUGCGAGACGACGACGAGGGAGGAGG